This 89-nucleotide small nuclear RNA is filed under the name Tupaia belangeri chinensis (Chinese tree shrew). The record is from RNAcentral. Lineage: Eukaryota; Metazoa; Chordata; Mammalia; Scandentia; Tupaiidae.
GUGCUCGCUUUGGCAACACAUAUACACACAGAUUAGUAUGGCCCCUGCACAAGGAUGACACGGAUAUUCGUGAAGUGUUCCAUAUUUUU